CGAUGAUCCCGGUGCUUGCACCGGGUGAUUAGUGGCGAACGGGUGAGUAACACGUGAGUAACCUGCCCCCGACUCUGGGAUAAGCCCGGGAAACUGGGUCUAAUACCGGAUAUUCACUUCCUUCCGCAUGGGGGGUGGUGGAAAGAUUCAUCGGUGGGGGAUGGACUCGCGGCCUAUCAGCUUGUUGGUGGGGUAAUGGCCCACCAAGGCGACGACGGGUAGCCGGCCUGAGAGGGUGACCGGCCACACUGGGACUGAGACACGGCCCAGACUCCUACGGGAGGCAGCAGUGGGGAAUAUUGCACAAUGGGCGAAAGCCUGAUGCAGCGACGCCGCGUGAGGGAUGACGGCCUUCGGGUUGUAAACCUCUUUCAGUAGGGAAGAAGCGAAAGUGACGGUACCUGCAGAAGAAGCGCCGGCUAACUACGUGCCAGCAGCCGCGGUAAUACGUAGGGCGCAAGCGUUAUCCGGAAUUAUUGGGCGUAAAGAGCUCGUAGGCGGUUUGUCGCGUCUGCCGUGAAAGUCCGGGGCUCAACCCCGGAUCUGCGGUGGGUACGGGCAGACUAGAGUGAUGUAGGGGAGACUGGAAUUCCUGGUGUAGCGGUGAAAUGCGCAGAUAUCAGGAGGAACACCGAUGGCGAAGGCAGGUCUCUGGGCAUUAACUGACGCUGAGGAGCG
Molecule: ribosomal RNA, 678 nt
Filed under: Arthrobacter sp.
Lineage: Bacteria; Bacillati; Actinomycetota; Actinomycetes; Micrococcales; Micrococcaceae
Description: bacterial SSU rRNA
Rfam family: Bacterial small subunit ribosomal RNA
Source: RNAcentral